GACAGAGGGUGCAAACGUUGUUCGGAAUUACUGGGCGUAAAGCGAGUGUAGGCGGUGUGGUAAGUCGGAUGUGAAAGCCCCGGGCUCAACCCGGGAAGUGCACUCGAUACUGCCACGCUAGAGUAUCGGAGAGGUUGGUGGAAUUCUCGGUGUAGAGGUGAAAUUCGUAGAUAUCGAGAGGAACACCGGGGGCGAAGGCGGCCAACUGGACGAAUACUGACGCUGAGACUCGAAAGCGUGGGGAGCAAACAGG
RNAcentral lists this ribosomal RNA (253 nucleotides) under uncultured bacterium. RNAcentral describes it as "partial 16S ribosomal RNA". It matches the Rfam family "Bacterial small subunit ribosomal RNA", at positions 524 to 776 of the family's 1533-position model. The record is from RNAcentral.